AAAAAGGUAAGCUAAGCAAGCUUAUAGGUUCAUACCCUGUCCAUGAAAGUAUUGACCUUUCCCUUUUUA
This 69-nucleotide transfer RNA is filed under the name Philolithus actuosus. RNAcentral's name for it is "tRNA-Met". Lineage: Eukaryota; Metazoa; Arthropoda; Insecta; Coleoptera; Tenebrionidae. The record is from RNAcentral.